RNAcentral lists this ribosomal RNA (465 nucleotides) under uncultured bacterium. Its description in RNAcentral is "partial 16S ribosomal RNA". It matches the Rfam family "Bacterial small subunit ribosomal RNA", at positions 28 to 507 of the family's 1533-position model. The record is from RNAcentral.
GACGAACGCUGGCGGCGUGCUUAACACAUGCAAGUCGUACGGUAAGGCCCUUUCGGGGGUACACGAGUGGCGAACGGGGGAGUAACACGUGAGUAACCUGCCCACAACUUUGGGAUAACGCUAGGAAACUGGUGCUAAUACUGGAUAUGUGCUCCUGCUGCAUGGGGGGGGUUGGAAAGCUCCGGCGGUUGUGGCUGGACUCGCGGCGUAUCAGCUUGCUGGUGGGGUAGUGGCGUACCAAGGCGGCGACGGGUAGCCGCACUGAGUGGGUGACCGGCCACAUAGACACUGAGAGACGGCACAGACACCUACGCGAGGCAGCAGUGCGGAAGAUUGCACAAUCGGCGCAGGCCGGAUGCAGAAACGCCGCGUGCGGGAUGACGGCCUUCGGGUUGUAAACCACUUUCAGCAGGGACGGUGCUUAUUGUGACGGUACCUGAAGAAGAAGCACCGGCUAACUACGUG